ACAUGCAAGUCGAACGGCAGCACGGGUGCUUGCUCCUGGUGGAAAAAAACGAACGGGUGAGUAAUAUAUCGGAACGUAUCCAAUAAUGGGGGAUAACUAAUCGAAAGGUUAGCUAAUACCGCAUACGCCCUGAGGGGGAAAGCUGGGGAUCGUAAGACCUAGCGUUGAUGGAGCGGCCGAUAUCUGAUUAGCUAGUUGGUGGGGUAAAGGCCUACCAAGGCGACGAUCAGUAGCUGGUCUGAGAGGACGACCAGCCACACUGGAUUUGGGACACGGUCCAGACUCCUACGGGAGGCAGCAGUGGGGAAUUUUGGACAAUGGGGGC
RNAcentral lists this ribosomal RNA (325 nucleotides) under uncultured bacterium. Its description in RNAcentral is "bacterial SSU rRNA". It matches the Rfam family "Bacterial small subunit ribosomal RNA", at positions 53 to 378 of the family's 1533-position model. The record is from RNAcentral.